AGAGUUUGAUCCUGGCUCAGGAUGAACCUUUGGCGGCGUGCCUAACACAUGCAAGUCGAACGGGGACAGACGGAAACCUAGUGAAGUCUGUCCGAGUGGCGGACGGGUGAGUAACGCGUGGAUAACCUGCCGCAUGCAGGGGGAUACCGGCUGGAAACAGCCGCUAAUACCGCAUAAGCGCACGGUGCCGCAUGGCAGAGUGCGAAAAGGAGAAAUCCGGCAAGCGAUGGAUCCGCGUCCGAUUAGCCAGUUGGCGGGGUAAGGGCCCACCAAAGCGACGAUCGGUAGCCGGCCUGAGAGGGCGGACGGCCACAUUGGGACUGAGACACGGCCCAUACUCCUACGGGAGGCAGCAGUGGGGGAUAUUGCACAAUGGGGGAAACCCUGAUGCAGCGACGCCGCGUGGGUGAAGAAGUAUUUCGGUAUGUAAAGCCCUAUCAGCAGGGAAGAAAGAAGACGGUACCUGACUAAGAAGCCCCGGCUAACUACGUGCCAGCAGCCGAGGUAAUACGUAGGGGGCGAGCGUUAUCCGGAUUCACUGGGUGUAAAGGGAGCGUAGACGGCCGUGCAAGCCAGGAGUGAAAGCCCGGGGCCCAACCCCGGGACUGCUCUUGGAACUGUGCGGCUGGAGUGCGGGAGGGGCAGGCGGAAUUCCUGGUGUAGCGGUGAAAUGCGUAGAUAUCAGGAGGAACACCGGCGGCGAAGGCGGCCUGCUGGACCGCGACUGACGUUGAGGCUCGAAAGCGUGGGGAGCGAACAGGAUUAGAUACCCUGGUAGUCCACGCCGUAAACGAUGACUACUAGGUGUCGGGGCACGACAGUGCUUCGGUGCCGGCGCAAACGCAAUAAGUAGUCCACCUGGGGAGUACGUCCGCAAGGAUGAAACUCAAAGGAAUUGACGGGGACCCGCACAAGCGGUGGAGCAUGUGGUUUAAUUCGAAGCAACGCGAAGAACCUUACCUGGCCUUGACAUCCCGGUGAAUGCAGGGUAAUGCCUGCAGCCUUUCGGGGCAGCGGAGACAGGUGGUGCAUGGUUGUCGUCAGCUCGUGUCGUGAGAUGUUGGGUCAUGUCCCGCAACGAGCGCAACCCCUGCCCCUAGUAGCCAGCACGUAAAGGUGGGCACUCUAGGGGGACUGCCGGGGACAACCCGGAGGAGGGCAGGGACGACGUCAAAUCAUCAUGCCCCUUAUGGCCAGGGCUACACACGUGCUACAAUGGCGUGCACAGAGGGAAGCAAAGCGGCGACGCCAAGCAAAGCCCGGAAAGCACGCCCCAGUUCGGAUUGCAGCCUGCAACUCGGCUGCAUGAAGCCGGAAUCGCUAGUAAUCGCGGAUCAGAACGCCGCGGUGAAUACGUUCCCGGGUCUUGCACUCACCGCCCGUCA
This 1385-nucleotide ribosomal RNA is filed under the name uncultured bacterium. RNAcentral's name for it is "bacterial SSU rRNA". It matches the Rfam family "Bacterial small subunit ribosomal RNA". The record is from RNAcentral.